AGGUGGCCAGCGUUGUCCGGAUUUAUUGGGCGUAAAAGCGAGCGCCGGCGGUUUUUUUAAGUUCUGAUGUGAAAGCCUUCGGCUCAACCGAAGAAGUGCAUCGGAAACUGGGAAACUUGAGUGCAGAAGAGGACAGUGGAACUCCAUGUGUAGCGGUGAAAUGCGUAGAUAUAUGGAAGAACACCAGUGGCGAAGGCGGCUGUCUGGUCUGUAACUGACGCUGAGGCUCGAAAGUAUGGGUAGCAAACAGGAUUAGAUACCCUGGUAGUCCAUACCGUAAACGAUGAAUGCUAAGUGUUGGAGGGUUUCCGCCCUUCAGUGCUGCAGCUAACGCAUUAAGCAUUCCGCCUGGGGAGUACGGCCGCAAGGCUGAAACUCAAAGGAAUUGACGGGGGCCCGCACAAGCGGUGGAGCAUGUGGUUUAAUUCGAAGCUACGCGAAGAACCUUACCAGGUCUUGACAUACUAUGCAAAUCUAAGAGAUUAGACGUUCCCUUCGGGGACAUGGAUACAGGUGGUGCAUGGUUGUCGUCAGCUCGUGUCGUGAGAUGUUGGGUUAAGUCCCGCAACGAGCGCAACCCUUAUUAUCAGUUGCCAGCAUUAAGUUGGGCACUCUGGUGAGACUGCCGGUGACAAACCGGAGGAAGGUGGGGAUGACGUCAAAUCAUCAUGCCCCUUAUGACCUGGGCUACACACGUGCUACAAUGGAUGGUACAACGAGUUGCGAACUCGCGAGAGUAAGCUAAUCUCUUAAAGCCAUUCUCAGUUCGGAUUGUAGGCUGCAACUCGCCUACAUGAAGUCGGAAUCGCUAGUAAUCGCGGAUCAGCAUGCCGCGGUGAAUACGUUCCCGGGCCUUGUACACACCGCCCGUCACACCAUGAGAGUUUGUAACACCCAAAGUCGGUGGGGUAACCUUUUAGGAACCAGCCGCCUAAGUGACAGAGAUCGGG
RNAcentral lists this ribosomal RNA (950 nucleotides) under Lactiplantibacillus plantarum. RNAcentral's name for it is "bacterial SSU rRNA". It matches the Rfam family "Bacterial small subunit ribosomal RNA", at positions 529 to 1479 of the family's 1533-position model. The record is from RNAcentral. Lineage: Bacteria; Bacillati; Bacillota; Bacilli; Lactobacillales; Lactobacillaceae.